CAUUUUUAGAUUUAAAUAUGACUUUAAUAACUGAAUAAAUACUUUUCUUCUAUAAAAAUAUAGAGAGACACUCUCGUUGAAUAUUGUUUUAGUAACGCAUGGGUAAGAUUUUCUAAACGAAGUGUGGCAACCCCAAUUACUUAAUAAAAAAUAAAAAUGUUAUAAAAUGAAAAUGGCGUCAUUUCACCAAAUAUCUUAAAACACAAAUUCACGAAUAAUAAAAUAAAUGUUUGCCACGGCCUGUUAAUAUUUAUGAAGACCUCUUCAUGGAUUGGAUUUAAGCAACCUGCUGUGUAAUAUCCUCGCCAUUCUUGAUGUUGAGAAGAUCUAUAAGUCUUUUACGUUUCAUCUGAGUGUUGUGGUUUUUCAUUAUGUUAAAAAUAAGACUUUGUUAGUUCAAGUGUCUCUAUAACUAUGAAGAAGAACAAAAGAAAAUGCUUUGAGUGUGGUUCUUCGCCUGCCGAUGAUCCAGAGAAGACCCUACAGAGAUUACCGAAACUUGAUUCUACAAAUUUAGUCUCCGGUAGCUUAAUCUGGAGCAACAUAAGGUUAAUUAUGAAAUGGUAAUGAAAAUAAACAUCUGAGAAAAGCAAAUUCCAUGAACUAAUUUGAAAGUAUCUGUUACCAGAAGUAAAUUUUUUACUAUACCACUGUUCAAUAUUAAACCACAGGUAUAUGUACUAAAGGCAGGACGGCAGCAACUUCUAUGUAGAAGAAAGAGAGAAAGAAGAAUAAGUAUCCAAAGCUGCUCUUAGUAGGAUCUUACCAAAUUUGGUUAAGCAGGGAGAACAACACAAGUAGGGGAGUUUAAUCAAUUGUCAAGGAAUUCCUUAACCCUACAUCCUGUAGUCACAACUCCAGGACUCUGCUCGGAGUAUUUCUCUCUACCAGGCGAUGGACCUGGCACCUGCACGGAAUGCUAAGAUAUUCAUCUGUCUCUUCAUGCGUAGUAUGUUUAUGUAUUUUUAAUUAAAUUUACUCACUCUCUUUAUUUCAGUAAUGUCCAGAUAAUCAAUGAUUAGACUAUUGGACUUUUAGAAUAAAUUUUACAUUGAACUAUGAAUGGUUUGUCAUCUACAUUUUUAAAAAAGACGAGAUGUUUUGCCUGUAAGAAGAAGAGAGAGAGAGAAUAAGAAGUUAAGUUAAACACCUACUGUAAAAUGCACACUGCUCCAAUGUAGGUUGAUAGGCUUGGGGUAAUAAAGUUAAAUUAUAAAAGGAUCACUAUCAGGUGUUAAUGAUAAUGACUGGGAUAUAUAGCAUAUCAUACUCUCUGAGAUAUAGGGAUAUAACACCAGCAACAGCUCUCCAGUGAUAGCAUCAUUGCUCUUUGCAUCUACAUGCCAUUGCCAGUUGUGGCAAUCAAACUCAUCAUAUUAGUGUGAUGAGCAUGGAUGUAUUUCAGUGUCUAUGUGGUUGUGAGUGUAUGCCCAUGUUAAAUAACAAGUAAUGGCCCAAAUAAUAAGUAGCCUAUAUCUUGCUCAAUAAUCUUCUCUAUCUUCCAGUAAAAGUCCCAUUAAAAUGACCCUGCUGUUCCAGAGAUUAGCUCAAACAAACAGACAGAUGAACAUUUUAAAGAAGUAUGGCUGUAUGUCAGUAUUGUAUAUAGGCACUUGAGAAAACACAGUUAUUUUGAAAUCACAGACAUAUACUUAAAUUUUAUUUAUACGUAUUGGUGCUGUUCAUAAAUAUAGCAUCAGCUGAAACAAACUAGGCAUAGUUAAGUUACAUUUUAUACAGGGUACUCGGGCCUAUUUUUCAUAAAUUCAAGGUGUUGACAAGUCCACUUAUAGCUACCUUAGCUACUAGUUUAUAUUGAGGAGAACUUUCCACCUAGAUGGGUUGUGACUGUAUUAGGGGUCUGGUGAUGAAGACGAAGGACAGUUAAGAGAACUCCUCAACAGUUCACAGUAGCUACCAUGUGUUGAUAAAUUUGUAUUGAUGAGAACUUUCCACCUAGAUGGGUUGUGACUGUAUGAGGGGUCUGGUAAUGAAGACAGUUAAGGGAACUCCUCGAUGGUUCACAGUAGUAAUUAGUUUGAUUCUAAGUCAGACGCAAUCAAAUACAAUGUUUUAUCACGACUCAUAGCAACAUACCUUUGGCGCUAGAUCAAUAUCUAGGAUGAUUUCACUAAAAAUGGAAAAAUAAAAAAUUUUAAUAAAAGAAAUUCAACCAACUUCAAAAACAUAAAACAUACUGGCUAAACUAAAAAGCGAAAAAUAAUAUUAUACUAAGUUCAUAUCAUAUUAUGUUCUAACUGAUGAUCAGUUUGAAGGCUGUGCUACACCGGUGUUGUUUUAAUUUAAGCUGUUACUGAAAGAACUACAUGAAAGAACACUGUCUUAAAAACCUAAAUAUUUAUGAUAUUCUUACAUGGCUUGAAUUAAUACAUCAUUGGGCUAGCACCACCUUCAAACUGAUCAUCAGUUAGAACAUAAUAUGAUAUAUAGAACUUAGUAUAAUGUUAUUUUUCGUUUUUUAGUUUAGUAAGUAUGUUUUUGAAGUCGGUUGACUUGUUUUUAUUAAAGUUUUUUAAUACACAUGUUCCUUAGACAUUUUGAAUUAAUUUUCCUUAUAGAACUUGGAGCUACCCUAGAGUUAUGGGAAAUACUCCCGAGCAUCCUGUAGAUGCUACUUAAUCCUACUAAUCCUUCAUUCAUCAGUAUCGGUUGGUGGGCUUGGAGUUUAUAAAAAGUUCAGUACCAACAAACUCACAAAAAAUGAGCCCAAAUUUAGCAUUACUUGCAAGCCAGACUAAGAAAUUUCAAGAAGAUAAUUUAAAAGAAGACAAUAGAAUAAACAGAUAAACAGAUGGAAACCAGGCAAUAGGUGUAGCAAAAUAGAAGAUGAAGGUCUAGCUGUGCCAGUGCUGAGCCACACAGUUGCUACUGGCAUGUUUGCAAAAUAGCACAAGGUGUAGCAAAAUAGAAGAUGAAGGUCUAGCUGUGCCAGUCAGUGCUGAGCCACACAGUUUUUGCUGGCAUGUUUGCAAAAUAGCACAAGGUGUAGCAAAAUAGAAGAUGAAGGUCUAGCUGUGCCAGUGCUGAGCCACACAGUUGCUACUGGCAUGUUUGCAAAAUAGCACAAGCUGUAGCAAAAUAGAAGAUGAAGGUCUAGCUGUGUCAGUGCUGAGCCACACAGUUGCUGCUGGCAUGUUUGCAAUAUAGCACAAGGUGCUGUAAAAUGAAGAUAUAUUGUUAAAUAUCAUGAGAUAGAAAUAAAAGAUGAAGAUCUAGCUGUACCCGUCCCGAGCCACACUACUGCAGCCACGUUGCCGCUGGCAUUUUUGCAAAAUAGCACAAGGUCACAACAAUUGAUGUAACAAAUAUAAUCAAUGGACCAGGCACCUGCACCAUGAUUCUUUGGAAUACUAAAAUUCGUCUCUUUAUGUCUGUACUUCUCAUAAUGAAAAAUGUCACGUUUUUAUGAAAGAAAUAAUGGAAUCAAAUAAUAAAUAAAACAAGCAUAUGCUGGAAGUCCUCAGAAACAGCUCCGACUUUGAUGAUUUUUUUUAAAGUCAUGUUUUUUAUGUUAUUUAAAAUCAUAAAUGUUUUGGUGGACGAAAUUAUUUAAAUUGUUAAAAAUAUCUAUGCUUUUUAUACAUAUAUAUAUAUUUUUUAAAAUACAACCGACUUCAAAAAUACAAACUUAUGCAGAAAACUAACAAACGAAAGAAAAUAUUAUAAUAUUUUCUAUCUAUUGAUCACUUUGAAGGCGGUGCCAAUGGUCCAAUUAAUGGGCCGACAAUUAGUUAUCUAUUGUUUACUAGCUAUAGGGUUCGAAUUGCUUUUUCAUAUGUUUAAAAGACUAUCAUCGGAAUGAACCCUUUAUAAUAAAAAAGUAUUAUCAAAAUCGGACCGGUCCGACCUGUUUAACCAUUAAUUUUAGUAUACAACCGAUCGGUUGUAUACUAAAAUUAAUGGUUAAACAAUCAAUCAUCCCCUGUUUUCGUAAUGUAAAACCAAGCAUAACUGUUAACAUGAGUAGUCCGAUUUUGAUAAUUCUUUUAAUUGAUCAUUCUUGAUUGUUUUAGUUUAAAACCAAGCAUGUCUUCGAAUUCCGAUUUAAAUAACUUUGUUUUAAAUAGAAAGGGUAUAUUCCGACAAUGGUCCCAAAUCAUUAUAAAUUUAAAAAAAACGAAGAUGACUGGUUAUUUUCCCAUUAAUUGUAUUGUAAAACUAUGCGUAACUUAUUACGAAGUGGUCCGAUUUCGUAAAUUCUUUAUAGAUUGUAAAGGUAUUUUGAUUGUAAAGCUCCCAUAUAAAUUUUAAAAAACAAUUCCAAUCCUAAAUGUGCGAUUGAUUGUUUUCUCAUUCAUUUUAAUGUAAAACCAAGCAUAACUUUUUAUUGGGUGGUUCGAUUUUGAUUAUUCUUUUUUUGAUAGAAAGGGUAUAUUCCUAAAAGUCUCAUAAAAUGUUAGAAAACAAUUUCAAAACUAAUAGUAGGAAAAUAGAACAUGAUUAA
This is a long non-coding RNA of Bicyclus anynana (squinting bush brown), 4465 nucleotides long. RefSeq lists it as uncharacterized. The transcript has 10 exons. The record is from RefSeq and is a predicted model, not a curated record. NCBI's taxonomy places the organism in Eukaryota, Metazoa, Arthropoda, Insecta, Lepidoptera, Nymphalidae.